RNAcentral lists this long non-coding RNA (329 nucleotides) under Vigna radiata. Its description in RNAcentral is "long non-coding RNA (VRAD_LNC004459)". The record is from RNAcentral. Lineage: Eukaryota; Viridiplantae; Streptophyta; Magnoliopsida; Fabales; Fabaceae.
UGAGCCCUCAGAGCUUACGUCAUGGUCGUUCUACAGAGCAGGGAUAGCAGAGUUUGUAGCGACUUUUCUGUUUCUCUACAUCACCAUCUUAACAGUCUUCGGUGUCCUUAGGUCUCCCACCAAGUGCCAAUCCGUUGGUAUUCAAGGAAUCGCUUGGGCCUUCGGUGGCAUGAUCUUCGCCCUCGUUUACUGCACCGCCGGAAUCUCAGGUUCACUUUUUUUUUUCCUCAUCAACUCUAGGAAUUUUAUGUUUUUUUCAGUUGUUUAAGAUAAACAACGUUGCUUGUUUGUGUUUGUGGUGCAGGGGGUCACAUAAACCCUGCGGUUAC